UUUCUAGCAAAUUCAUUUAACCAUUUAGAUAAAUGAGGCAUUAUUUUCUUCAUGCUUCCAUCCAAUCCUGGAGGUGAAUUUUUUCUGUCUGAUCAUUCUAUAAGUCACCAAUUCAAAUUUUCGCUUGGUGAUAAUGGAGUCUAAGAUGAGUGGAAGAUAAAUGUUCCAGCUUGUCGCAACAUUUAAGUGCAGUUUUAACAAGGGUGACUUAAGUUCUCUCUCAAUCAUUCAAAUCAAUUCUCCCAGAGGACAAGGUCGUCGUCUAAUUCAGCUUCUUAUUUACCCAGGAAAUGAGAGGAUGCAAGGUGUGCCUGGGAAAAGACUAAUCAUAUGAAAACACUGGCCAUGAGAAUGGAUGCCCUGGUCUCACUUGAUCAAAGAAGAGAAAGCUGUUAAUGUACUGGAGCACUCUUGCUGCGGAAAUGAGUCACACCAUAGAGCCUGGCUGCUGUGGCAUCAUACGGAAACUGUAGCAAAACUCAAGGGCCGCUCUGGAGUGAAGGAGAGCUUGGCUGAUGGCCAGGAAAAGGUGAGGAGGGUGCCAGACCCCUAAUAAAAGAGGCUUCACAGUCAAGCCUCUUGCUAUAACUGUCUCUCCCACUUUCUCUUUUUAAAACUAUUUUUCCUAUUGUAAAUAAUACCAUUAAAUGAAGACUAUUGUCUCUCCUUAUG
Homo sapiens (human) is the source of this 672-nucleotide long non-coding RNA. RefSeq lists it as uncharacterized. The record is from RefSeq and is a predicted model, not a curated record. NCBI's taxonomy places the organism in Eukaryota, Metazoa, Chordata, Mammalia, Primates, Hominidae. The transcript is spliced from 3 exons.